This 975-nucleotide ribosomal RNA is filed under the name Faecalibacterium sp. Marseille-Q4164. RNAcentral describes it as "bacterial SSU rRNA". It matches the Rfam family "Bacterial small subunit ribosomal RNA", at positions 1 to 989 of the family's 1533-position model. The record is from RNAcentral. Lineage: Bacteria; Bacillati; Bacillota; Clostridia; Eubacteriales; Oscillospiraceae.
UUUAUAAAGAGUUUGAUCCUGGCUCAGGACGAACGCUGGCGGCGCGCCUAACACAUGCAAGUCGAACGAGCGAGAGAGAGCUUGCUUUCUCGAGCGAGUGGCGAACGGGUGAGUAACGCGUGAGGAACCUGCCUCAAAGAGGGGGACAACAGUUGGAAACGACUGCUAAUACCGCAUAAGCCCACGGCUCGGCAUCGAGCAGAGGGAAAAGGAGCAAUCCGCUUUGAGAUGGCCUCGCGUCCGAUUAGCUAGUUGGUGAGGUAAUGGCCCACCAAGGCAACGAUCGGUAGCCGGACUGAGAGGUUGAACGGCCACAUUGGGACUGAGACACGGCCCAGACUCCUACGGGAGGCAGCAGUGGGGAAUAUUGCACAAUGGGGGAAACCCUGAUGCAGCGACGCCGCGUGGAGGAAGAAGGUCUUCGGAUUGUAAACUCCUGUUGUUGAGGAAGAUAAUGACGGUACUCAACAAGGAAGUGACGGCUAACUACGUGCCAGCAGCCGCGGUAAAACGUAGGUCACAAGCGUUGUCCGGAAUUACUGGGUGUAAAGGGAGCGCAGGCGGGAAGACAAGUUGGAAGUGAAAUCUAUGGGCUCAACCCAUAAACUGCUUUCAAAACUGUUUUUCUUGAGUAGUGCAGAGGUAGGCGGAAUUCCCGGUGUAGCGGUGGAAUGCGUAGAUAUCGGGAGGAACACCAGUGGCGAAGGCGGCCUACUGGGCACCAACUGACGCUGAGGCUCGAAAGUGUGGGUAGCAAACAGGAUUAGAUACCCUGGUAGUCCACACCGUAAACGAUGAUUACUAGGUGUUGGAGGAUUGACCCCUUCAGUGCCGCAGUUAACACAAUAAGUAAUCCACCUGGGGAGUACGACCGCAAGGUUGAAACUCAAAGGAAUUGACGGGGGCCCGCACAAGCAGUGGAGUAUGUGGUUUAAUUCGACGCAACGCGAAGAACCUUACCAAGUCUUGACAUCC